GAACGCUGGCGGCGCGCCUAACACAUGCAAGUCGAACGAGCGAGAGAGAGCUUGCUUUCUCGAGCGAGUGGCGAACGGGUGAGUAACGCGUGAGGAACCUGCCUCAAAGAGGGGGACAACAGUUGGAAACGACUGCUAAUACCGCAUAAGCCCACGGCUCGGCAUCGAGCAGAGGGAAAAGGAGCAAUCCGCUUUGAGAUGGCCUCGCGUCCGAUUAGCUAGUUGGUGAGGUAAUGGCCCACCAAGGCAACGAUCGGUAGCCGGACUGAGAGGUUGAACGGCCACAUUGGGACUGAGACACGGCCCAGACUCCUACGGGAGGCAGCAGUGGGGAAUAUUGCACAAUGGGGGAAACCCUGAUGCAGCGACGCCGCGUGGAGGAAGAAGGUCUUCGGAUUGUAAACUCCUGUUGUUGGGGAAGAUAAUGACGGUACCCAACAAGGAAGUGACGGCUAACUACGUGCCAGUAGCCGCGGUAAAACGUAGGUCACAAGCGUUGUCCGGAAUUACUGGGUGUAAAGGGAGCGCAGGCGGGAAGACAAGUUGGAAGUGAAAUCUAUGGGCUCAACCCAUAAACUGCUUUCAAAACUGUUUUUCUUGAGUAGUGCAGAGGUAGGCGGAAUUCCCGGUGUAGCGGUGGAAUGCGUAGAUAUCGGGAGGAACACCAGUGGCGAAGGCGGCCUACUGGGCACCAACUGACGCUGAGGCUCGAA
Molecule: ribosomal RNA, 713 nt
Filed under: uncultured Lachnospiraceae bacterium
Lineage: Bacteria; Bacillati; Bacillota; Clostridia; Lachnospirales; Lachnospiraceae
Description: bacterial SSU rRNA
Rfam family: Bacterial small subunit ribosomal RNA
Source: RNAcentral